CCUACGGGGGGCAGCAGUGGGGAAUAUUGCGCAAUGGGCGAAAGCCUGACGCAGCGACGCCGCGUGAGGGAUGAAGGUCUUCGGAUCGUAAACCUCUGUCAGCAGGGAAGAAAGGUCACUGUGCUAAUCAGCAGUGAAUUGACGGUACCUGAAAAGGAAGCACCGGCUAACUCCGUGCCAGCAGCCGCGGUAAUACGGAGGGUGCGAGCGUUGAUCGGAAUUACUGGGCGUACAGCGCUCGUAGGCGGGAUGUCAAGUCAAGGGGGAAAUCCCCGCGCUCAACGUGGGAACUGCCUUUGAAACUGGCAAACUGGAGUGUGUGAGAGGAUAGUGGAAUUCCAGGUGUAGGAGUGAAAUCCGUAGAUAUCUGGAGGAACAUCAGUGGCGAAGGCGACUAUCUGGCACAUAACUGACGCUGAGGAGCGAAAGCGUGGGUAGCAAACAGGAUUAGAUACCCGUGUAGUC
Molecule: ribosomal RNA, 465 nt
Filed under: uncultured bacterium
Lineage: Bacteria
Description: partial 16S ribosomal RNA
Rfam family: Bacterial small subunit ribosomal RNA
Source: RNAcentral